UAGAAAGGCCAAAACCUAGGAAGAAACAUAGAGAGGAACCAGGCUAUGAGGGGUGGCCAGUCCUCUUCUGACUGUGCCGGGUGGAGAUAACAGAACAUGGCCAAGCUGUUCAAAUGUUCAUAAAUGACCAGCAUGGUCAAAUAAUAAUAAUAAUCACAGUAGUUGUUGAGGGUGCAGCAAGUCAGCACCUCAGGAGUAAAAUGUCAGUUGGCUUUUCAUAGCCAAUCAUUAAGAGCAUCUCUACCACUCCUGCUGUCUCUAGAGUUAAAAACAGCAGGUCUGGGACAGGUAGCACGUCCGGUGAACAGGUCAGGAUUCCAUAGCCGCAGCCAGAACAGUUGAAACUGGAGCAGCAGCACGGCCAGGUGAACUGGGGACAGCAAGGAGUCAUCAUACCAGGUAGUCUUGAGGCAUGGUCCUAGGGCUCAGGUCCUCCGAGAGAGAAAGAAAGAGAAUUAGAGAGAGCAUACUUAAAUUCACACAGGACACCAGAUAAGACAGGAGAAGUACUCCAGAUAUAACAGACUGACCCUAGCCCCUGACAAACUACUGCAGCAUAAAUACUGGAGGCUGAGACGGGAGGGGUCAGGCGACACUGGCCCCAUCUUAUGAUACCCCCGGACAGGGCCAAACAGGAAGGAUAUAACCCCACCCACUUAGCCAAAGCACACUAGAGGGAUAUCUUCAACCACCAACUUACCAUCCUGAGACCAGGCCGAGUAUAGCCCACAAAGAUCUCCGCCACGGCGCAACCCAGACAGGAAGAUCACAUCAGUGACUCAACCCACUCAAGUGACGCACCCCUCUUAGGGGACGGCAUGAAAGAGCACCAGUAAGCCAGUGACUCAGCCCCUGUAAUAGGGUUAGAGGCAGAGAAUCCCAGUGGAAAGAGGGGAACCGGCCAGGCAGAGACAGCAAGGGCGGUUCGUUGCUCCAGAGCCUUUCCGUUCACCUUCACACUCCUGGGCCAGACUACACUCAAUCAUAUGACCCACUGAAGAGUAACUUCUAAGUUGCCAACUUUGACACUAAAACAGGGGACCUUGCAAGCUUAGCUCUGGAACCAAAUAAGAUCGAUUGCGUUUUUCCAAGAUGCAGAGAAAGAUUUAUCAAAAAAAUCUAUUUGCUGAUAUUGGAUAACUGCACUGAGUAUUUCUUUCUUAUGGGACACAAGUAGAGUCAUCUGCAUACAAAAACCAUUGACAAGAGCAGGCUGAUUUAUGUUUAAAAAAAAACAUUUAGGGUUGGGGUGACUGAAGGAAGGCAUGUGUGACUGCUUGUAUCUCUCAGUCUUGGGCUGUGGAUAAGAUGGCAGUUAGCUUGUCUUGUAAAGGGACCUUUAAAGAGGAAAACAUCCAGGCAAAAUGUAUCUCUUUGCUCAUGGAAUGAGGGUAGUGAUAAUGAAUUUAGUGCAGCCUUGUAUCUGACAUAUGCUGUGCCAAGGAUGAUUUGCCAAAUGUGGUUUUGGUUGCGCUCAAGCUGAUCAGAGUGCCUGAGUUUAGGAGUCACUGCCAGGACCGGCAGGGGAAGUGGGCCCGGUUCCUUCCCUGGGCGGAGUAUGCCCAGAAUUCACUUUGUCACUCCUCCACUGGGCUGUCACCCUUCCAGUGCGUCCCAGGGUACCAACCGGCCCAGGCUCCAUGGACCCCGAGCCAGAAGCUCCUGCAGAGGAGGUUUGGAACACUGCCCAGGUGAGGCUCCAAUGCGCCAUCUGCCGCCAGAAAGAGCAGACGGACCGCCACUGCAGGGAGGCUCCCGUGUUUCAUCCCGGUGAACGCGUCUGCCUUCCGCCAGGAACCUCCCCCUCUGCCUGACCUACCGGAAGCUGAGCCCCCGCAUGGGGGUUUCUGGUCUCCUGGCUUAUGCCAUCUCCCACGACACCUCUCCACCUCCCCUGGACAUCGAAGGAAGCCCGUCAGAUGACGUCAGAUCCCUCCUGGACUCCCGACGUCAUGGGGGUCACUUCCAGUAUAUGGUGGACUGGGAGGGGUAUGGUCCAGAGGAGUGCUGUUGGGUUCCGGUGGAUGACAUUCUAGAUCCCAACAUCAUCCGAGAUUUCCACCUUCGCCGACCGGCCCGCUCCUCGCCUUCGGGGCCAUCCUCCUGUGGCUGGAGCCACGCGUCGGUGGGGGUUCUAUCACGUCUACUCCCGCUCUGGGGCUUGACGUUGCCGGUCUACUAACCACCAGUCCUGGCAAACUAUCAUUACGCACACCUAGCACCCAUCAUUACGUACACCUGCACCCCAUUAGGCACACUUGGACUUCAUCACUUCCACGAUUACUUCCCCUUUAGCUGUUGUAUCACCAACAUGCAGUAUUGUAUGGUGGAAUAUUAUAUGUAGAGAGUGACAGAGACUUUGUCAUUUCUUCAAACAAUCAUCUUUAGUCAAUAUUGAUUAAUUAUUGCAAUACUGAAACCGUCGACACAAAAGUCUUGACUGUUGGGCUGAGAGCCUACUCUUUACAGACAGUGCACAGUUUAUAUAGCUGAUACCCAGAAUGCUUGGUUCCACCUCUCCCAUAUACAUUGGAGGUACUAUAAGCCACUGGGGUUUCCUCUGGUCAUCUGCCUCUCGUGCUGUUUCCCAGAUGCCUGGAUAAUUAGGACUAGUGAGGCCUUUGUUCUGUUCCUCCUGGCCAUCUCGGUGACACACACCACAUCUGAUCUAUGGAAUGCCAGCUGUGUUUUUUUUUUUAUCACCAAGUUAUCACUUAAUCAGUUGCCAGCCCAAGCUCCAUAAAGACUCAUCUCAGUUAACUCUGAAAGGAGAGAGAGAGAGUCCUAAGAACCUUACUCUAUUCAAUAAAACAACCAUUUGGUGCAUAAAUAUAACAAUCUUGUUAUCCUGCUACCACAAUUGUAUCUGUGUUCCUGUUCAAAAACGCUACUCUUGUUCUUGCAUUCUUUCUAAGUUCGUUCAUAUUAAACUCAGACUACACCUGCUUCCUGACUCCCUGCGUCUUCGUUACAGUCCAUUUACCUUACAGCUAAAAUUAAGUUAGUUUUAAGCUUCCUUAAUGCAAAAGAUUUCCAAUAAACUAGUGUGAGUAGCCCUUUCCUGCAGUCAUUGACCAAUAGCGCCCCCUUUGGCCUCGGGUGUAAUGUUAUUCAUGUUUUGUUUUUUUUACAAUGAAAAUCUGGGUGUUUGUCAAACAGUUUUGUUAUAUUUCAGUCUUCUGUGAUGUGUGUGUAUAUAAAGUGUAAUAUUGGGAUGCAAACUCAAAAUGGAAUACAUUUCAACUCUCUUAUCUAACAUGGUACAGGUGUCUUAUUUUUU
This is a long non-coding RNA of Oncorhynchus tshawytscha (Chinook salmon), 3280 nucleotides long. NCBI's taxonomy places the organism in Eukaryota, Metazoa, Chordata, Actinopteri, Salmoniformes, Salmonidae. The record is from Ensembl.